This 497-nucleotide ribosomal RNA is filed under the name uncultured bacterium. RNAcentral's name for it is "partial 16S ribosomal RNA". It matches the Rfam family "Bacterial small subunit ribosomal RNA", at positions 28 to 507 of the family's 1533-position model. The record is from RNAcentral.
GAUGAACGCUGGCGGCGUGCCUAAUACAUGCCAGUCGAGCGAACGGACGAGAAGCUUGCUUCUCUGAUGUUAGCGGCGGACGGGUGAGUAACACGUGGAUAACCUACCUAUAAGACUGGGAUAACUUCGGGAAACCGGAGCUAAUACCGGAUAAUAUUUUGAACCGCAUGGUUCAAAAGUGAAAGACGGUCUUGCUGUCACUUAUAGAUGGAUCCGCGCUGCAUUAGCUAGUUGGUAAGGUAACGGCUUACCAAGGCAACGAUGCAUAGCCGACCUGAGAGGGUGAUCGGCCACACUGGAACUGAGACACGGUCCAGACCCCUACGGGAGGCAGCAGUAGGGAAUCUUACGCAAUGGGCGAAAGCCUGACGGAGCAACGCCGCGUGAGUGAUGAAGGUCUUCGGAUCGUAAAACUCUGUUAUUAGGGAAGAACAUAUGUGUAAGUAACUGUGCACAUCUUGACGGUACCUAAUCAGAAAGCCACGGCUAACUACGUG